UUAAAUAUGAAAUUAACGUAUAAUAAUGUAAUAUUCUUUUUGUAAUUACGAAUGUUUACAACCUACUUUAAACCAUUGCAUUUCAAACAGCCUACUGUUGUUUUUUCCUGAAUUAAUGCUGAUAAAAAAAUAUUUAUAUUUCUGCCUAUAUACUUUACUUUUCGUUAUUUAGGUUUCAUAAAAUUAAGAAGAUAACUGUUCAUUAACGUGAUAUAUAGUAAAAAGUAAAAAGUAUAUAAAACAAAGGUUUUCAUAAUGCACAAUUACGACCAACAGAUUUUUCUCUUACCUGAAGAACUGUAGAAGAGCGCAUUUCUGAUAAUUAUAUUCAAAUGAAGCUAUUUGCCUGUAAUUAGACGUUUAUAGUUGUUAUAAAAGUAUAGUGGGUAGAACAGCCCACAUUAAAGAAAACAAAUUUUAAAUAAAUGGAAUAACUGUCGUGUGAAUUAAACAAUAUUUUGCUGAACAGUAAAUAAAUCUAAUUAUUAUUUAAUGCGAUUAAAACUUAUUAUACCACUUUCUGUAUUCAUAAUCAAAUGAAUUUCACAGUAAAAAGGCAAAAAGAAUCAUAUCAAAAUCUGCUUGAGAUGAUGUAUUUUUUAGAUAAAUCCAAACUUCUAAAAUUUCUGUUUUGUGAAUUAUACUGUUUAUUUUUUAAUUGUUUCCACGUGUUAGGAAUAAUUUAUAUUCGUAUCAUUUAAUUUAUUACGCCUAUUUAAGCGUUUUCAAUAAACAUGUAAUGGAAAUCUAGAUCGAUGGCAUUUUUAAAUAUUUCCAAGUUUAAAACGUUUCAAAUUCAAUUUUGCCAAACCGACUAAUUAUACAGUAUUAGCAAAAUUGAAUUUGAAAUUUUUUAAACGUUGAAAAUAAUCCGACAAAGUUCAAAUCCAGUAAACAAAAAUGAUUCCAAUUUUACAAGUUUAAAAAAUCAAUUUUAGUUUAUUAUAGUGCAAGUUGAUAUAAACAUAUUUGCAAUAGAUAAUUAAUUUAUCUCCAGUUUUUUCACAAUCUGUUGUACUUUUGGAUAUAUACUAUCAAUUCUUCUGGGUUUGGUGGAAAGGUUAAUUUCUUCAUUAUACUGUGGCUGAAUGAAUUUACUUGCCUCUAUAGCCUAUGCUACAUCCUGUUGUCUAUGGAAAUAUUAAAAAAUGAAUAUAACCUCAAAACUGGACAGGUGUUUUCAUUAAUUUAAUGAAGUAAUAAUGUGCUACAAUUUGUUAAUUUAGUUAGGAAUUACUGCGUAAGUAACAAUAUAAAUAUUGCCCAUCGGUGCUUAAAUACUUUGAUCUCAAGUUUAAUAAAACUAACUAGUUUUGAGUCACCCUAGUACCUGAAGUGAAGCCCUUCUAAUUUCCAACAGUAUGAGUCAAGAGUGAGCAAUACACGAAAGCGUACUGAAGUUUGUUUAGAUAUUACGAUAUCUUCAAGUGGAUGGUGUUGAUGGUAUAGUUUUUCCUGCACUUGGAUUUGCAGUAGUUGUCUUCUGUGAAAGCCUUUCGUACCUUAUUGAGGUAUAUAUAUUAUCUUAUAAGCAUGAAGUUAAUUUUUAUUGUACCCUGUGGUGUCAUUUUUCUUGGACUAUGGACAUUGGCCUGCCGUUAACAUCUUCAUUUUGCAACAUUAUCCAAUUAAUCUUCGACGAAUGAUCGAGAGAGCACCUUGAAGUUGAUUUGCAUCCCAAAUUGUCUGCAGUGGCAUCAUUCUUCCUGGAUUUGCAUUACUGUUUGCACUUGUUGACUUUGGCACAUUGUAAUUAAUUAAGAUCGCCGGUGGAGAAGAUAAAGAAGACCCCGUAGUUAAAAUACUUGUCUAUUUUGCAUGUUUUUUGUAGUUUAUUUUAUUUGAAUUAAUUUUUGAUUGUAGAUGUUGUUAUUGUUUUUAGUUGUAGUCGUUAUUACUGUACUAACACGUUUAGUUUUUUUUGGUAGUCAUAGUCUAACAUGUCUCUUGCUUACCUCUUCGCUUAGCUUACUGCAUAUUCUUCCUAAUUUGCU
Molecule: long non-coding RNA, 1994 nt
Organism: Agrilus planipennis (emerald ash borer)
Lineage: Eukaryota; Metazoa; Arthropoda; Insecta; Coleoptera; Buprestidae
Exons: 4
Source: RefSeq, a predicted model, not a curated record